RNAcentral lists this long non-coding RNA (171 nucleotides) under Amphibalanus amphitrite. Its description in RNAcentral is "uncharacterized LOC122392255". The record is from RNAcentral. Lineage: Eukaryota; Metazoa; Arthropoda; Thecostraca; Balanomorpha; Balanidae.
ACCAGCACCAGCACCAGCACCACCGGCUCCGGAAUCACCACCACCAGCCUCCAUCCCCUGCCAGCUUUGGCAGCACCACCACCAGCACCGCCGGCCUCAGGACCAAGCCCACCACCAGCGGGCGUUGACGGAGGCGGGUGUGCGGCUCUGGCGCAGCUGAGCCGUCGACCG